Transfer RNA from Camelus ferus (Wild Bactrian camel), 72 nucleotides. It matches the Rfam family "tRNA". Rfam says of the family: Transfer RNA (tRNA) molecules are approximately 80 nucleotides in length. Their secondary structure includes four short double-helical elements and three loops (D, anti-codon, and T loops). NCBI's taxonomy places the organism in Eukaryota, Metazoa, Chordata, Mammalia, Artiodactyla, Camelidae. The record is from Rfam.
GAGGGUAUAGCUCAGUGGUAGAGCUGGUGCUUAGCAUGCACUAGGUUCUAGGUUCAAUCCCCAGUCCCUCCA